AGGCUUACGGUGGAUACCUAAGGACCUAGAGACGAGGAAGGGCGUAGUAAUCGACGAAAUGCUUCGGGGAGUUGAAAAUAAGCAUAGAUUUGGAGAUUCCCGAAUAGAGAAACCUUUCAAACUACUGUUGAAGCCAUGCAUAGGUAAGAGACAACGUGGCUAACUGAAACAUCUUAGUACCUAGAGGAAAAGAAAGCAAAAGCGAUUCCAGUUGUAGUGGCGAGCAAAACGGGAGCAGCCUAAAUCAUGAAAAUGAAGUUGUGAGAGAGCAAUACAAGUGUCAUGCUGCUAGGCGAAGCAGCAGAAAUGCUACAUCCUAGAUGGCAAAAGUCUAGUAGCCAAAAGCAUCACUAGCUUACGCUCUGACCCGAGUUACAUGGGAGACGUGGAAUCUCGUGUGAAUUAGCAAGGACCACAUUACAAGGCUAAAUACUCUUGGGUGACCGAUAGCAAAGUAGUACCAUGAGGGAAGGGUGAAAAGCUCCCAAGCAAUGGGAGGAGCCAAGUCUCUGAUCGUGUGCCUGUUGAAGAAUGAGUCGACGACUCAUAGGUAGUAGCUUGGUUAAGGGAACCCAUUGGAGCCAUAGCAAAAGUAAGUCUUCAUAGGGAAAUUGUCACUACUUAUGGACCCAAACCUAGGUGAUCUAUUCAUAACCAAGAUGAAGCUCGAGUGAAACUAAAUGGAGUUCCAAACCAACUGAUGUUGAAGAAUCAGCAUAUGAGUUGUGGUUAGGGCUAAAAUACCACUCAAACCCAGAGCUAGCCAUUUCUCCCCGAAAUGCAUUGAGACGCAACAGUUGACUCAACAUCUUGGGAUAAAGCACUGUUUCGAUGCAGACUAUGAGACCGGUACCAAAUUGAGGCAAACUUUGAAUACUAGAUAUGACCUCAAAAUAACUGGGGUUAAGGUCAGCCAGUGAGACGAUGGGGGAUAAGCUUCAUCAUCGAGAGGGAAACAGACUAGAUAACCAGCUAAGGUUCCUAAAUGAUCGCUCAGUGAUAAAAGAGAUAGGGGUGUAGAGAUAGCUAGGAGGUUUGCCUAAAAGCAGCCACACUUGAAAAAGUGUGUAAUAGCUCACUGAUCUAGCACUCUUACGUCGAAGAUGAAUGGGACUAAGCGAUUUGUUGAAGCUUUGGGAUGUAAAUAUACAUCGGUAGGGGAGUGUUCCACCUUAGAAGGAAGCCCCCACGUGAGUUAGGGCCUAAGAUCAGGAUGAAAGGCAUAGUCGAUGGACAACAAGUGAAUAUUCCUAUACUAUCCCUUGUUGGUCCCGAUGGAUGGAAGAUGCUAGGUUAGCUAAAAGCUGGUUAUCGAUUCGAGAACGUAAGGUGCCCCUGUUAUUUCAGGGUAAGAAGGGGUGGAGAAAAUGCCUCGAGCCAAUGUUUGAGCACCAGGGGCUACAGUGCUGAAGUAACCCAUGCCAUACUACUAGGAAAAGCUCGAACGACCUUUAAACAAAAGGGUACCUAUACCCGAAAUCGACACAGGUGGGUAGGAAGAGAAUACCUAGGGGUGCGAGAUAACUCUCUUUAAGGAACUUGCCAAAAUAUCCUUGUAACUUCUAGAGAAGGGGUGCCUCCUUACAAAGGGGUUUGCAGUGACCAGGCCCGGGUGACUGUUUACGAAAAACACAUGUCUUCGCAAAGUCAUAAGACCAUGUAUGGGGCUGGCGCCUGCCCACUGCCGAAAGGUCAAAGAAGUUGGUGACCUGAUAAUAGAGGAGUCGACGACCAAAGCCCUGGUGAAUUGCGACUGUAACUAUAACAGUCCUAAGGUAGCAAAAUUCCUUAUCGGGUAAGUUUCGACUCGCACGAAAGGCGUAACGAUCUGAGUACUACCUCGAAAAGAGGCUUAGUGAAACAG
RNAcentral lists this ribosomal RNA (1864 nucleotides) under Olea europaea subsp. europaea. RNAcentral's name for it is "Bacterial large subunit ribosomal RNA". It matches the Rfam family "Bacterial large subunit ribosomal RNA", at positions 15 to 2044 of the family's 2925-position model. Lineage: Eukaryota; Viridiplantae; Streptophyta; Magnoliopsida; Lamiales; Oleaceae. The record is from Rfam by way of RNAcentral.